AAAGGAAAGAGACUAUUUCAAUUGCUGAACUUCAAAAUGGAUCACAUUGUCGAAGAUUCCAUUGAGAUAAUUUUGAGCAAAUCACAUAGUAGUAGAGUACACAUCCUCACCACGCCCUACAUCUUGGUUACACAGUUGCUAUUAAAAAUUUCAGCAAACUAAAGAAAGAUCAACAAACACAACACAUGCAUUGUCUGCCUCCAGAUAACACUCUUGUGUCCCGUUAUUUGCAUUUAGCAGUACCGACUAAACAAGGGCUGCUCAUUGCGGUGAUGAGACGGACGGUGAGGAGUUGCACGCUAGUCUGUGGUUGGUCAUGCCUAGAGCGCCAUGGACACACCGUCGUGGUCACGCUCUAGAAGGAGAAUAAACAUGCAAAAUUUUCCAUCCCCACAUAUAGUAUAUAUCAAUAUUGCAAUUUUUUCCUAUCACAUAUAGUAUGUGAUAAAAAAAUGCAGUAUUGCAGAAUUCAGUAACAAAUAUGCGGUGGUUUAACCAUAUAUAUACUACCAAACCUCCAUGAUAGAUUGUAUCAACACCUUAGCUUACAUGGAAGCAUAAGAUUCGUGCUCCAUAUAAACAUAAAUUUCAGAAACAGUAACUAGCCAAACUCUGACAUUUAAGUUAGAGAUGUACUUCAUUAUCUGCAAGAUUCCAACAAUGCAUAAGAUUCGUGCUCCAUAUAAACAUAAAUUUCAGAAACAGUAACUAGCCAAACUCGAAGCAACAAUACAUUGUCUAUUAAAAAUCUGCAUGUGCAGAUGCAAAAGAAACGACAUAAUGCUUAACUACUUUGUAAGAUUCAUAAGAUUAGAUGGCGACAACAAAGUUCGGUUUGCAAAUCAUGAGCUUUACAUUAACUUGGGCUCAGCUCAACGCAUAUCAAUGGCUAUCCAAUAAGGAAUGAACAACAAUACCUUGUGCUUAAUCAGGCACCGAGAAUGGAGCAGCCACCGAGAUCUGAGAGGAGACAGGAUGAGCUUGGACGGAUUUGAUGGGGGUGUGUGUGGUGCUGAUGUCUUCGCAAUAAUGUAUCUGGUUCUGUUCAUGAAAAUUCAGGCCAAAUUUAUCAAAAUGCUACUGGUGCAGCACAAUGGAGCACGUACACAUGAUUGCCAUUAGGGUUACGGGAGAAAACACGAACUGAACUCUAGCCCGAUUGUAACGUAUUCAGUGGUAUUAAUUCAGAAUCUGACCUGAAGUUGAACUAGCUAAUUAUUAGUGUCCUGGAACUAGUUAAUUAGUCCUAUUGGCCACUGGCCGAUUAAAGUUACUCUCCUUAGUGGACUGAAUACUGAUGAUUUAAUUGAACUAGUCAAUUAACCCUGUCACUUGCAAAAUUUAACCAGUCCCCAUCCUGGAACUAGUCAACAGCAGAGAUCCUAGUAAUGCUGGAAGGAACCACCAAUUAGUGGGAAGCAUCCACCAAUUAGAAUAAUAGAAGCAAGUCGGGACAUGCGAGGCGGGAGUGGACCUGGAUGGUGCGGGUGUCGAAGCCGAGCUCGAUGCCCAGGCCGCUUGGAGUAUGGCCGACGACAGGAUCGAACGAGCGGACCCUGCUGGUGGUUAGAGAACGUGCGUCUCAAUCCCGUCGGCCAGGAUCAAAUUCGAACGUCAGUCUCAUCCCCGAACAAGAUCCAACAGGAUUCAAUAACAGAGUCUGAGUCCCGUUCGGGAGGUUAGAGACUGAGUUUAAUACUUUAAUCUCCCGAACCUGGAUCCAAUAGCAGAGAUCCUGAUGCCCGCACCUGGAAUCAUCAAACUCGAUCGCCGCUUGGAGGAGGAGGAGGAGGAGCGAACGAGUGGCUGGCGGUGACGGUCAUCGGCCCCUCACCCCCGUCGAUGUUGCUCGUCGCAGUCAACAAAUACGCUCCAAUCGGUGAUGGUUAUGGCUUCUCGCGCUUGAGAUAAGUCAAGGUCGUAAUAUUACCUCGCAGGCACUAGAAAUAACCGCACAAACCUCAGGUUGCUGAUGCUGUGGGUCGCUUGGGUGCGUGUGAUUAGGCUGGG
RNAcentral lists this long non-coding RNA (2010 nucleotides) under Triticum aestivum (bread wheat). RNAcentral's name for it is "long non-coding RNA (TAES_LNC003320)". Lineage: Eukaryota; Viridiplantae; Streptophyta; Magnoliopsida; Poales; Poaceae. The record is from RNAcentral.